RNAcentral lists this ribosomal RNA (443 nucleotides) under uncultured bacterium. RNAcentral describes it as "bacterial SSU rRNA". It matches the Rfam family "Bacterial small subunit ribosomal RNA", at positions 340 to 774 of the family's 1533-position model. The record is from RNAcentral.
UACGGAAGGCAGCAGUGGGGAAUAUUGCACAAUGGGCGCAAGCCUGAUGCAGCCAUGCCGCGUGUAUGAAGAAGGCCUUCGGGUUGUAAAGUACUUUCAGUCGUGAGGAAGGUGUUAAGGUUAAUAACCUUAGCAAUUGACGUUAGCGACAGAAGAAGCACCGGCUAACUCCGUGCCAGCAGCCGCGGUAAUACGGAGGGUGCGAGCGUUAAUCGGAAUUACUGGGCGUAAAGGGCACGCAGGCGGUUAAUUAAGUUGGAUGUGAAAUCCCCGGGCUUAACCUGGGAAUGGCAUUCAAGACUGGUUAGCUAGAGUCUUGUAGAGGGGGUAGAAUUCCAUGUGUAGCGGUGAAAUGCGUAGAGAUGUGGAGGAAUACCGGUGGGCGAAGGCGGCCCCUGGGACAAAGGACUGACGCUCAUGUGCGAAAGCGUGGGGAGCGAAAC